CCUACGGGGGGCAGCAGUGGGGAAUAUUGCGCAAUGGGCUUACGCCUGAACCAGCCAAGUCGCGUGAGGGAAGACUGCCCUAUGGGUUGUAAACCUCUUUUGUCAGGGAGCAACGCCGGCUACGUGUAGCCGGACUGAGAGUACCUGCAGAAAAAGCAUCGGCUAACUCCGUGCCAGCAGCCGCGGUAAUACGGAGGAUGCGAGCGUUAUCCGGAUUUAUUGGGUUUAAAGGGUGCGUAGGCGGAAUGCCAAGUCAGCGGUAAAAUCGCGGGGCUCAACCUCGCUCCGCCGUUGAAACUGGCGUGCUUGAGUGGGCGAGAAGUAUGCGGAAUGCGUGGUGUAGCGGUGAAAUGCAUAGAUAUCACGCAGAACUCCGAUUGCGAAGGCAGCAUACCGGCGCCCAACUGACGCUGAAGCACGAAAGCGUGGGUAUCGAACAGGAUUAGAUACCCCUGUAGUC
This 460-nucleotide ribosomal RNA is filed under the name uncultured bacterium. Its description in RNAcentral is "partial 16S ribosomal RNA". It matches the Rfam family "Bacterial small subunit ribosomal RNA", at positions 338 to 795 of the family's 1533-position model. The record is from RNAcentral.